This is a long non-coding RNA of Gadus morhua (Atlantic cod), 704 nucleotides long. RefSeq lists it as uncharacterized. The record is from RefSeq and is a predicted model, not a curated record. Lineage: Eukaryota; Metazoa; Chordata; Actinopteri; Gadiformes; Gadidae. The transcript is spliced from 2 exons.
GUUAAUACCGGAAUUGUCCUCUAAACAUGCGCUGAUCACGUCAACGCACAACUUUUUUUUUUAAUCAGCCGAUCCGCGGAUCACUUGCGUCCCGAACCGUGAUGGUUGAUCCGUACGGAUCACGGGAAACCCGUGAACCGUUGCACCACUACUGGAGACUUGGUCUAGGUGCUGGAGGCUGGGUCUAGGGACUUGAGGCUGGGACUAGGUGCUUGAGGCUGGGUCUAGGUGCUUGAGGCUGGGUCUAGGUGCUUGAGGCUGGGUCUAGGUGCUUGAGGCUUGGUCUAGGUGCUUAAGGCUUGGUCUAGGUGCUUGAGGCUAGGUGCUUGAGGCUGGGUCUAGGUGCUUGAGGCUAGGUGCUUGAGGCUGGGUCUAGGUGCUUGAGGCUUGGUCUAGGUGCUUGAGGCUAGGUGCUUGAGGCUUGGUCAAGGUGCUUGAGGCUAGGUGCUUGAGGCUUGGUCUAGGUGCUUAAGGCUUGGUCUAGGUGCUUGAGGCUAGGUGCUUGAGGCUUGGUCAAGGUGCUUGAGGCUAGGUGCUUGAGGCUUGGUCAAGGUGCUUGAGGCUAGGUGCUUGAGGCUAGGUCUAGGUGCUUGAGGCUGGGUCUGCUUGAGACUAGUCCACACAGCCAGCAGUGUUCUUUGAUGGGAGAGGUGAGAGAGAGAGAGAGAGAGAGAGAGAGAGAGAGAGAGAGAGAGAGAGAGAGA